AUAUUAUCGACCUGCCAUUGUUGUACCAGUUCGCACCCGAAAAAAGAAGAAAAGUCUACAGUCUUCGUCUCCCACGCUGCUCCUUCCCCACCGAGUACUUGGCCUCCCACGCCGCCCUCCGGCCACGCUGCCGCUGCCGAGCUCUGAGCUCCUUGCCGUCGACCGGUUCUCCUCCUCCGGCGCCUCCGCGAGAUCACGUCGCCUCCCCCCGGAAGAUCCUGCCGCGUCCUCCGUCGCUCUAACCUGAGCACCACCAUGGCCGCCGUCCGCCAGCCGCCAUGGAGCUUCCUCCAGCUCGGCUAAGCCCCCAAAUCGAAACCCCACACCCCACACGAGCUCCGCAGCGCCUCAAUUGCAUCCCAAAUCAACCCUACGAAAAACCCCCAAAUCGGAUUGUGUCCACCAACUCCGGCGAGGCAUCCUUCGGUGGCGGCAACCGAGCAACGGCGCCGUGCGUCGCGCACGCGCGUCUGGCUUGAUUGGGUGGACACAAGGUGUGGUGAGGCAUCCUUCAGCGGUGCGGCUGGUGCUCGUGGUGGUCUGCGACUAGUGUGCGAUGCACCGAGGCGUGGAGGCGGAUGGUGCCGCCGCAAGCGGUGACCGCGAGCACUAAGCUCCAGGGCGCGCCGCCGUGACCUCCUCGAGACGCUAGUAGUAGUGACGCUAGUAGUACUGAAGCUUUUGCUUGAUAAUCCCAGUACCGAAACAGAACCAGCAUGAAGGUAGAAGAAAUAUCUGAUAAGUGGGGCCUACGUGGAAGCGAGGUGAGGAGGGUGGGCCUAGCUGGGCCGCUGUGGUGGAGGGAGUUGGGCCAUUAGCUCGUGCACUGGGUAGGCCUACUAAAGCUGGUGGAGUGGAACCAUACAUCACCCAAACAUGAUAGAGUAAAUUUAUUAGAGCGGAGCUAGAAUGUGGAGUGGAGUUUGUGGAGUGGAGUGCUGCAAACAAGCCCUUAAUAGUCAUUAACAGAGGAGGUUGUGUUACGUCUGCCCCCUCUAUUAAUCUAUUUACUGAGGUGGUCUCCUUAACAGAACCGCCUCAGUUAAUGUACCCUUAACUGAGCCGGUUUCCUUAUGGUGACUGCCUCAGUUAAUCUAUUAACAGAGGCGGGCUACCGGCCUGCCCGCCUCUGAGGCCUCCUCAAAACACCUCGGUUAAUCCAGAUUUGUAGUAGUACAUGGUCGGCACAACCGACCUUUAGCCUUCAACGUGGCAGCCUCACAUGGGCUCAUAAUGUCGGUUCCAGGUGAUUGCAGCUGAAUAACUGGGUGAAACACCCAUGGUCAUCCUUUAUAAAUAUGAGAGGGGGUUUCAAAUGGAGAACUUAUCCAUCAAGUGCUCAACAAGCUUUCUCGAGUUUAGAGUUGCCUUAAAAAGGUUAGGGGUAGAUGUACUCUGGAGGGGCGUCAAGUCUUCGGUGCUCUUCUCCAAUUUUUACCUCUACGAGAGUGAGGGAAUAGUUCGUGAGAAGUGCCAAGAUGUCAGCAUUCUUCUCCCAACUUGUACCUCUAUGAAUGCUGCUACAUUCUUCGAUGCUCAGUAAGCAUUCGUGGUCCCUAUCUCUAGUAUUUUAUUUGGUGUAGUAUAUGCUAGUAGUACUUGUAACUGAGUGAGAUCAGUUGUCUUAGUCGCGGGUUCAUUGCUCUGUAUUUAUACAGAGUGUUGUAGUUUGCUACAGGGUACCAAACGUAUUUAGACUAUAGUAGUAAUCUAUAGCGUAGAUAUAGUGUCUAGGCUAAAGGAUAUCCUUCGUUCGCCUUAUAUCCCACAAUUUGUUAGAGGUAGGCUGUAUGUGGUGACAGUCCUAAUGGUCCUAUGCAAUCUUCCACAUUCGGAUAUAGCGUAGAACUAUUGGCCGGAGUUGCCUGGCAGACCAGAUGUAAGCCGGUGCCCGAAUCAAGUAUAGUGUCCGAGAGAUCGAGUUUUAACUCACCUAUUAUGUUAUUGUUGGAAUUCUCACUACCCUUGCCACCUACUUUGGUGUGUCCUUGGAUCGACUAAAAUAGGAGUUAGUGUACACACGUUCCCUUGAAUUCAAUAACUCUUGGAAAACUCUGAGAUGAAAGUUACAACGAUAUCCAUGCGCUUGCGGAUUCUUCCACUAUCACUAAAAUACCCAACAAGUAUCAAGAGCAUGCCCGAGAGUCGCCUGAUUUAAUGAUGAAAAAAUAACAAUUAUAAGGAAUGUUAAUAAAAUAGCAAGAUAACACAAAAUAUCAUACCAAACCUAAUAUGUAAGUAAUAUUGUCUAUUUCCAAGACUCAUUAUCAUACCCGAUUAUUAGUUUUAGAAGUUAACACUUCAGUUUUGCUUGAUCCCAUUUAUCGUAAAAAAAAUUGCAGUAGCAUGUUUCGGUUCAUAAGCAUGUCCAUGUUUGCAUUCUGCCCUUUAAAAGACGUAUUAAUCAAAUUUGCUUUCAGAUCAUGACAUAUGUGGUAUAACAAAUGUAGCUUUUUCCAUUCAUCAGAUAUUCGACAAGUGUUAGAUCUCUAUCACUAAAUGGUCUACAAUCAGCUUCCUUGACAUCGUCUAAAUAUAAUCCAAGCAGCUCUAUAUCAGCUACUGCCAAACACAUGCCAUAGGUACAUUCUUCCGAGCCAAUAAUGUUAUAAAAUAAGUAGAUUAACACACCACUCGGGUUGCAAUCUACCAACGCAUAAUACUUUAGGGGUCUGAUAAGCAUCUUUUAACUUCCUCGGUAGGAUCCAUGUUGCCACGUCCGAAUGGCUUCUCCCUAUAAGGUCAGUCUUAGUGGGAGUGUCAUCGACACAGUUACCAAAACUGGAAACUUGAGAACUGUGCCAGUGGAGUGUCAUGGUGAUGACACUCCUCUCACAUUUCAUGACAUUCAUCUUUUCUCUCUCCUCAUACUAUUGGUACAUGUUAGCACAUUUAAUAUCCAUGACACUACUAUAACACUCCCACUGAGAUUGGCAUAACCAGAAUUGUGUCAUCUGUUUCAUGAAAUUUCUUUGCAACUAGGUCAUAGAAAAUGGUCUCCUUUUCGAUGACAAAGACGUGUUUUACUUUGUCAGGGAUCUCAAUUCUAUUCACCAAUACUAAUUCCCUAGGAAUCAGUGUUCCUGAUUCCCCACCAAACAUGCAAUCUGCGAGCUCCUCGUCAUCGACAUAUAGCUUAACUUGGCCAAGGAUCAAACCAUGGGCUGCUGGUCUUGUUUCCAAACACUCAUGAGGAAUUUUAAGUGAUUCUGAGAGAGAAGACAUAUUCUCAUAUUCUAUCUUGGACCCAGUCUUCACUCAAGUUUGGCUCAUCAAAUUCAUCAGGAUACAUAUAGUGUAACACAUUUUUCCUUAUUCUUUUAUGAUUUUCAUCCUCAAGGUAAUGCUUUGCUACUUGAGCUACUGCAAACAUUCUCCUUCCCUUGGCAGGACAAAGUUUAUAUGUCCAGAAAUUCUGCAAGCAAAGCUGCUGCAAUGUAUCAUAGUAUUCACAUGCAUCUGUUCCUCCUGCAGCCCUCUUCCCUUUAUUACCUUUACUGUGUAGGGUGAAAAAGUCCUGCUCAGCAUAUUUUCCCCACGGACAUAGUUACUCUCUUCAGAGCUUCCUUUCCACUGAUACCUUCGGCAAUAACAAAUUUUGACUUCAUCUCCUUCCUUUAAUCAACAUUAAAUCCCAAGUUCUUCAAAUAUUAGAACAGUUCUCGACCAUGUAAUCUGCAAUAGAGGACAUUUACAUAUCUUUGCUAGUGCUUAGAUAUAGAUGCUUUGUGCUCUUGUGUGUACGGCGGUUCCUUAGGUACAUAAAAGAAGCCUAGAGAGUAGUAUGAGAGCUAGAGAAAAAGUGAUGCAAGUUGUAAUUGUGAAAGCUAUAGAGUUAGUACUUGUUUCUCAUGUGCUUGUGUGAACCAACAUAGAGAUAAGAGAGAAGAACAUGGUGAGAAUCUAGUUUCCGAAAAUUGCAGCAGCUAGAAAAGAAUCUAGCUUCUAGUUUCCAAAAAAUAUGGUUCCAAAAAUCUAGUUUACAAGAAUCUAGUUUCCAAAAAUUACAGCAUCUAGUUUCUAAAAAUUCCAGCAGCUAAUUUCCAAAAUUUUCAGCAGCUAGAAAAGAAUCUAGUUUCAAAAAAAUUCUAAAUUCUAAUAAUCUAGUUUCCAAAAAAUCAAAAAAUUCAGUAUCUAGCUUCCAAAAAUUCGAGCAACUAGAAAGGAAUGCUCAAAAAAGAGUGGAACAUGAUAUUAAAGGAAAAGUGUGUAGAUAGGAAACUACAUUAUCUUGAUGUUGUCUUCAUUAUCACUUGAGAUAUUGCUAAUAGGUUAAGCAAAUGAGACUUCAUGUUAGUCAGGUAUGCCAUCGGAUUCAUCCUUGGGCUCGUCAAACAUAGACUCAAUGUGGGACCUUUCAGAAUUUUCUGAUCCAAUUUCUUCAAAGGAGCCCCUCCUGACUGUAGACUCAAUCGGGCAAAUAAUGGAGUGGCAUACCCGUCCAACUCAUCGAGGUCACAUUGCUGCUUUCUGAAGAUGAUGUGGUCAUUGACACCUUUUUGCUCGGUGUGGCUAUCAGAUUCCAGAAUACGGAUGAAAACUAUUUAUCAAGUGAAAAUGCUACAAAUGAUGUUGUAUAGAAAUUUUCUUAUAUUCGAUGUCAUUAUAUUGAAAUUUGUAGCUUUAUGAAUAAUGUAUGGCUAGUAGUAUUGUCCAGGCAUGAUAAAAUCUUUUGUAAAGAAUCACGCAAGCAUGUUCCAUUAUCAGCCAAAGUUGAGAUAUAUCUUUCUAAAUAUAUACAAAGUACUAGCAUUUACCCUUUUUUUA
This is a long non-coding RNA of Panicum virgatum (switchgrass), 4767 nucleotides long. RefSeq lists it as uncharacterized. The record is from RefSeq and is a predicted model, not a curated record. The transcript is spliced from 2 exons. NCBI's taxonomy places the organism in Eukaryota, Viridiplantae, Streptophyta, Magnoliopsida, Poales, Poaceae.